Molecule: ribosomal RNA, 492 nt
Filed under: uncultured bacterium
Lineage: Bacteria
Description: partial 16S ribosomal RNA
Rfam family: Bacterial small subunit ribosomal RNA
Source: RNAcentral
AGUGAACGCUGGCGGUAGGCCUAACACAUGCAAGUCGAACGGCAGCACAGUAAGAGCUUGCUCUUACGGGUGGCGAGUGGCGGACGGGUGAGGAAUACAUCGGAAUCUACUUUUUCGUGGGGGAUAACGUAGGGAAACUUACGCUAAUACCGCAUACGACCUACGGGUGAAAGCAGGGGAUCUUCGGACCUUGCGCGAUUGAAUGAGCCGAUGUCGGAUUAGCUAGUUGGCGGGGUAAAGGCCCACCAAGGCGACGAUCCGUAGCUGGUCUGAGAGGAUGAUCAGCCCCACUGGAACUGGGACACGGUCCAGACUCCUACGGGAGGCAGCAGUGGGGAAUAUUGGACAAUGGGCGCAAGCCUGAUCCAGCCAUGCCGCGUGGGUGAAGAAGGCCUUCGGGUUGUAAAGCCCUUUUGUUGGGAAAGAAAAGCAGCAGGUUAAUACCCCGCUGUUCUGACGGUACCCAAAGAAUAAGCACCGGCUAACUUCGUG